Molecule: ribosomal RNA, 469 nt
Filed under: uncultured bacterium
Lineage: Bacteria
Description: partial 16S ribosomal RNA
Rfam family: Bacterial small subunit ribosomal RNA
Source: RNAcentral
GAUGAACGCUGGCGGCGUGCUUAACACAUGCAAGUCGAACGAUGAAGCUGGAGCUUGCUCUGGUGGAUUAGUGGCGAACGGGUGAGUAACACGUGAGCAACCUGCCCCUGACUCUGGGAUAACAGCCGGAAACGGCUGCUAAUACCGGAUAUGCACCAUGAACGCAUGUUCUGUGGUGGGAAAGAUUUUUCGGUUGGGGAUGGGCUCGCGGCCUAUCAGCUUGUUGGUGAGGUAAUGGCUCACCAAGGCGUCGACGGGUAGCCGGCCUGAGAGGGUGACCGGCCACACUGGGACUGAGACACGGCCCAGACUCCUACGGGAGGCAGCAGUGGGGAAUAUUGCACAAUGGGCGAAAGCCUGAUGCAGCAACGCCGCGUGAGGGAUGACGGCCUUCGGGUUGUAAACCUCUUUUAGCAGGGAAGAGGCGAGAGUGACGGUACCUGCAGAAAAAGCGCCGGCUAACUACGUG